CCUACGGGAGGCUGCAGUGGGGAAUAUUGCACAAUGGGGGAAACCCUGAUGCAGCGACGCCGCGUGAGUGAAGAAGUAUCUCGGUAUGUAAAGCUCUAUCAGCAGGGAAGAAAAUGACGGUAACUGAUUCAGAAGCCCCGGCUAACUACGUGCCAGCAGCCGCGGUAAUACGUAGGGGGCAAGCGUUAUCCGGAUUUACUGGGUGUAAAGGGAGCGUAGACGGCAGCACAAGUCUGGAGUGAAAUGCCGGGGCUUAACCCCGGAACGGCUUUGGAAACUGUGCAGCUAGAGUGCAGGAGGGGGAAGUGGAAUUCCUAGUGUAGCAGUGAAAUGCGUAGAUAUUAGGAGGAACACCAGUGGCGAAGGCGGCUUACUGGACUGUAACUGACGUUGAGGCUCGAAAGCGUGGGGAGCAAACAGGAUUAGAUACCCCAGUAGUC
RNAcentral lists this ribosomal RNA (440 nucleotides) under uncultured bacterium. Its description in RNAcentral is "partial 16S ribosomal RNA". It matches the Rfam family "Bacterial small subunit ribosomal RNA", at positions 338 to 795 of the family's 1533-position model. The record is from RNAcentral.